Molecule: long non-coding RNA, 154 nt
Filed under: Jaculus jaculus (lesser Egyptian jerboa)
Lineage: Eukaryota; Metazoa; Chordata; Mammalia; Rodentia; Dipodidae
Description: Myocardial infarction associated transcript exon 5 conserved region 1 (ENSJJAG00000005544.1)
Rfam family: Myocardial infarction associated transcript exon 5 conserved region 1
About the family: MIAT (myocardial infarction associated transcript), also known as RNCR2 (retinal non-coding RNA 2) or Gomafu, is a noncoding RNA. Single nucleotide polymorphisms (SNPs) in MIAT are associated with a risk of myocardial infarction. It is expressed in neurons, and located in the nucleus.
Source: RNAcentral
GCAUGGUGUGAUUAACCUACUAACCCUAACCCAGGGCUCGGUCAGGACGCUGUGACCCGGGAUGAGGUGCUUGGCCUUCUGCAGAUCGACUAACCCACUAACCAGGCCCGGAGCAUGCCCGUACUAACCCCGCAGCAGCCAGAUCCUACUAACC